This 515-nucleotide ribosomal RNA is filed under the name uncultured bacterium. RNAcentral's name for it is "partial 16S ribosomal RNA". It matches the Rfam family "Bacterial small subunit ribosomal RNA", at positions 28 to 523 of the family's 1533-position model. The record is from RNAcentral.
GAUGAACGCUGGCGGCGUGCCUAAUACAUGCAAGUCGAGCGAAUGGAUUAAGAGCUUGCUCUUAUGAAGUUAGCGGCGGACGGGUGAGUAACACGUGGGUAACCUGCCCAUAAGACUGGGAUAACUCCGGGAAACCGGGGCUAAUACCGGAUAGCAUUUUGAACCGCAUGGUUCGAAAUUGAAAGGCGGCUUCGGCUGUCACUUAUGGAUGGACCCGCGUCGCAUUAGCUAGUUGGUGAGGUAACGGCUCACCAAGGCAACGAUGCGUAGCCGACCUGAGAGGGUGAUCGGCCACCCUGGGACUGAGACACGGCCCAGACUCCUACGGGAGGCAGCAGUUGGGAAUCUUCCGCAAUGGACGAAAGUCUGACGGAGCAACGCCGCGUGAGUGAAGAAGGCUUUCGGGUCGUAAAACUCUGUUGUUAGGGAAGAACAAGUGCUAGUUGAAUAAGCUGGCACCUUGACGGUACCUAACCAGAAAGCCACGGCUAACUACGUGCCAGCCGCCGCAGUAA